Molecule: ribosomal RNA, 274 nt
Filed under: uncultured bacterium
Lineage: Bacteria
Description: partial 16S ribosomal RNA
Rfam family: Bacterial small subunit ribosomal RNA
Source: RNAcentral
AUACGGAGGGUGCAAGCGUUACUCGGAAUCACUGGGCGUAAAGCGCGCGCAGGCGGUCUUUUAAGUCGGAUGUGAAAGCCUACAGCUCAACUGUAGAACUGCAUCCAAAACUAUUAGACUAGAGUCUGGGAGGGGAAGAUGGAAUUAGUUGUGUAGGGGUAAAAUCCGUAGAGAUAACUAGGAAUACCAAAAGCGAAGGCGAUCUUCUGGAACAGUACUGACGCUGAGGCGCGAAAGCGUGGGGAGCAAACAGGAUUAGAAACCCGAGUAGUCC